This 295-nucleotide long non-coding RNA is filed under the name Sorghum bicolor (sorghum). RNAcentral's name for it is "long non-coding RNA (SBIC_LNC004536)". Lineage: Eukaryota; Viridiplantae; Streptophyta; Magnoliopsida; Poales; Poaceae. The record is from RNAcentral.
ACAGAAUUCCACGAGUUUUGUUGUUUAUCUGUUUCUGCAGGGGGUUAUCAGGAAAUAAGGAAGAAAGGCCUACAUGUCGGGAUUACAUAGAGAUAUCAACGCACCGCGCAAUUUUACAUCAUCUAGAAGACCCCAGAAGCCACGAGACCGAAGCGGAGGCAAAACUGGGCCAGGCCUAGGGCACCAGCCCUGGUAGCCUGGGCGCCCGCCCCCCUGCUGGAGCCAAAUCAGGACUCUUUCGUUCGGGAUAUUCCACCGACCUACAGGAUCAAGAAAAACAUAGUACCACCCCGGC